This 389-nucleotide ribosomal RNA is filed under the name uncultured bacterium. RNAcentral's name for it is "bacterial SSU rRNA". It matches the Rfam family "Bacterial small subunit ribosomal RNA", at positions 28 to 418 of the family's 1533-position model. The record is from RNAcentral.
GACGAACGCUGGCGGCGUGCUUAACACAUGCAAGUCGAGCGAGGCUCCUCCUUCGGGAGGAUGCCCUAGCGGCGAACGGGUGAGUAACACGUGGGCAACCUGCCCCUAGCACUGGGAUAACUCCGGGGAACCGGGGCUAAUACCGGAUACGACCUCCGAGGGCAUCCUCGGUGGUGGAAAGGAUUCUGGCUAGGGAUGGGCCCGCGGCCUAUCAGCUUGUUGGUGGGGUAACGGCCCACCAAGGCGACGACGGGUAGCCGGCCUGAGAGGGCGACCGGCCACACUGGGACUGAGACACGGCCCAGACUCCUACGGGAGGCAGCAGUGGGGAAUAUUGCACAAUGGGCGAAAGCCUGGUGCAGCGACGCCGCGUGAGGGACGACGGCCUU